Ictalurus punctatus (channel catfish) is the source of this 370-nucleotide long non-coding RNA. RefSeq lists it as uncharacterized. Lineage: Eukaryota; Metazoa; Chordata; Actinopteri; Siluriformes; Ictaluridae. The transcript has 3 exons. The record is from RefSeq and is a predicted model, not a curated record.
GCUUACUAUUGGAUGAAAACGGACCGCAAGAAAAAGAUUCAGCUUGACGUUGGACGUUCGAUAUUCGCAGAUAUGCGGAAAUUAAGGGACCGUCUCUAAAGUUACAUACGACAUUGUUAAACACGAUUCAACUUCAAUAGCAUUUGAAGGGAAUGACUUACAGUCAUAUAACCAACUGUAAAGUGUUCAACUAGGUGUAAGAAAAUGAGAACUGAACUGAACUGAAAUUUUUUGGGUCACGGGGAACCUGGAGCCUAUCCCAGGAAGCAUCAGGCACAAGGCAGGGUACACCCUGGACAGGGUGCCAGUCCAUCGCAGGGCAUAAUCACAUACACACUCACACACCCAUUUGAUACACCAAUCAGCCUAC